This 497-nucleotide ribosomal RNA is filed under the name uncultured bacterium. Its description in RNAcentral is "partial 16S ribosomal RNA". It matches the Rfam family "Bacterial small subunit ribosomal RNA", at positions 28 to 507 of the family's 1533-position model. The record is from RNAcentral.
GAUGAACGCUGGCGGCGUGCCUAAUACAUGCAAGUCGAGCGAACAGACGAGGAGCUUGCUCCUCUGACGUUAGCGGCGGACGGGUGAGUAACACGUGGAUAACCUACCUAUAAGACUGGGAUAACUUCGGGAAACCGGAGCUAAUACCGGAUAAUAUAUUGAACCGCAUGGUUCAAUAGUGAAAGACGGUUUUGCUGUCACUUAUAGAUGGAUCCGCGCCGCAUUAGCUAGUUGGUAAGGUAACGGCUUACCAAGGCAACGAUGCGUAGCCGACCUGAGAGGGUGAUCGGCCAGACUGGAACUGAGACACGGUCCAGACUCCUACGGGAGGCAGCAGUAGGGAAUCUUCCGCAAUGGGCGAAAGCCUGACGGAGCAACGCCGCGUGAGUGAUGAAGGUCUUCGGAUCGUAAAACUCUGUUAUUAGGGAAGAACAAAUGUGUGAGUAACUAUGCACGUCUUGACGGUACCUAAUCAGAAAGCCACGGCUAACUACGUG